GGCUUAGGCAUGCAAGUCGAACGGUAGAGUGCUUUCGGGCACUUGAGAGUGGCGAACGGGUGAGUAACACGUAGGUGAUCUACCCUCAAAUCGGGGCCAACCCAGGGAAACUUGGGCUAAUUCCGGAUGAGUGCGGUAACGCAUAAAAGGUGGCGUAAGCUGCCGUUUGGGGAUGAGCCUGCGCCCUAUUAGUUAGUUGGUGAGGUAAUGGCUCACCAAGGCGAUGAUAGGUAGGCGGCCUUAACGGGUGGUCGCCCACACUGGGAUUGAGAUACGGCCCAGACUCCUACGGGAGGCAGCAGUCGAGAAUAGUCUACAAUGGACGAAAGUCUGAUAGUGCGACGCCGCGUGAACGAAGAAGCCCUUCGGGGUGUAAAGUUCUUUUAUAUGUGAGCAAUGCUUCUUAGGUGAAUAGUCUGAGGAGAGAGAUAUUAGCAUAUGAAUAAGCAACGGCUAACUCCGUGCCAGCAGCCGCGGUAAUA
RNAcentral lists this ribosomal RNA (482 nucleotides) under uncultured bacterium. Its description in RNAcentral is "bacterial SSU rRNA". It matches the Rfam family "Bacterial small subunit ribosomal RNA", at positions 46 to 525 of the family's 1533-position model. The record is from RNAcentral.